UGGGUAACGUGCCCCGAUGACUGGGACAACCCGGGGAAACCCGGGCUAAUACCGGAUAUGCCCCCUGACAUCUGUCAGGUGCGUAAAGGAAGCUUCGGCCUCCGCAUCGGGAUCGGCCCGCGGCGCAUUAGCUUGUUGGUGGGGUAAUGGCCUACCAAGGCAGCGAUGCGUAGCUGGUCUGAGAGGACGAUCAGCCACACUGGGACUGAGACACGGCCCAGACCUCCGUACGGGAGCAG
RNAcentral lists this ribosomal RNA (239 nucleotides) under uncultured bacterium. RNAcentral's name for it is "partial 16S ribosomal RNA". It matches the Rfam family "Bacterial small subunit ribosomal RNA", at positions 118 to 347 of the family's 1533-position model. The record is from RNAcentral.